Molecule: unclassified non-coding RNA, 336 nt
Filed under: soil metagenome
Description: partial contains 5.8S ribosomal RNA, internal transcribed spacer 2, and large subunit ribosomal RNA
Rfam family: 5.8S ribosomal RNA (bases 1-120)
Source: RNAcentral
GAUGAAGAACGCAGCGAAAUGCGAUAAGUAAUGUGAAUUGCAGAAUUCAGUGAAUCAUCGAAUCUUUGAACGCACAUUGCGCCCGCCAGUAUUCUGGCGGGCAUGCCUGUUCGGGCGUCAUUUCAACCAUCAAGCCCCCGGCUUGUGUUGGGGACCUGCGGCUGCCGCAGGCCCUGAAAAGCAGUGGCGGGCUCGCUGUCACACCGAGCGUAGUAGCAUACAUCUCGCUCUGGGCGUGCUGCGGGUUCCGGCCGUUAAACCACCUUCAUAACCCAAGGUUGACCUCGGAUCAGGUAGGAAGACCCGCUGAACUUAAGCAUAUCAAUAAGCGGAGGA